RNAcentral lists this long non-coding RNA (1000 nucleotides) under Manacus vitellinus (golden-collared manakin). RNAcentral describes it as "lncRNA (ENSMVIG00005000087.1)". The record is from RNAcentral. Lineage: Eukaryota; Metazoa; Chordata; Aves; Passeriformes; Pipridae.
GCACUGCAGCGGGACCUGGACUUCUGCAGGGAUGUGAACCGCAAGCGACUGGCCCAGCUGCAGCAGCAGGAGUGUGAAAUGGAGCAGGAGCACCAGGACUUGGUCUCUCUGAUGCAGCAGUGCCAGGUGCUGAUAGACAAGGUCAGUGAUGCAUCUCUCCACCUGAAGGACCAAGCGGUGCAGACAGAGGUCACCUCCAACGUGGCUGCUCACAGCCAUUCUGUCACCAGCCACAAUAUCCCAGUGGAGAGCAGAAAGCUGCUCGAGCAGGAGAACCAGGGCCCGCAGUACAGCCCAGCUCAGCUGCAGGAGCAGUUGGGAGCCACCGAGGCCCAGAAGCAGCAGAGUCUGCACCAGCUGAGUGGAGCUGAGGAGACCAUCCAAGGCCCACACCAAGAAGUGGUAGAGCUGCAGCAACAGCUUUGCGGGCAGGUGCAGGGCACAGCCAACCUGCAGGAAGAACUGGCCCGAGCCCGGCGAGAGAGCACCAAGCAGGAGAAAAAGAGCGCAGUCCAUAAGACACAACAGCAGCAGCUCCAUCAGGGGCUGAGGAAGAGUUCUCAGCAGCAGAGCAAGCCGGAGGAGAGGCUGCAGGACCUGAGCAGACAAGCCCAACACUGGCAGCAGCUACAUGUGGACAGUGAGAGAGCUCUGGCUCUGCGAGAAGAGGAGCUGGUUGUCUGCAAGGUGGAGCUGGCUUUCCUUAUGGAAGAGCUCAGCAAGGUGACAGAGCAGGUGGAGGAUACAAACAGGCAUUCAAGACACACCAGGCAGGAUGCAGGAGAACCCACACCUCACAGUCAGAACACCUGAGCAGCCCCACAAGUGUCAGCAGCUGAAAAAGUUCUACAGGGCAACAACCUGACAGCACCAACCUUGCACAAUUCUGCAGAGCUGCCUCCACCCAAUACUUGUCUCUGGGACAAGAAGCAGCACAAAAGAAAGCAAGGAUUAAGACUGACAACCUUUAAACAAAUAAAAUUCUUUCUGUUCUGUAGCA